RNAcentral lists this ribosomal RNA (409 nucleotides) under uncultured bacterium. RNAcentral's name for it is "bacterial SSU rRNA". It matches the Rfam family "Archaeal small subunit ribosomal RNA", at positions 339 to 747 of the family's 1478-position model. The record is from RNAcentral.
GCGCGAAACCUUUACAAUGCACGAAAGUGUGAUAGGGGGAUACUCAGUGCUUACGCUUAUGGUGUAGGCUUUUGUCGAUCGUAAAUAGAUCGGCGAAUAAGUGGUGGGUAAGACUGGUGCCAGCCGCCGCGGUAACCCCAGCGCCACAAGUGGUCAUCGCGAUUAUUGGGCCUAAAGCGUUCGUAGCCGGUCUGGUGCAUCUCUUGUGAAAUUGUUCGGCUUAACCGGACAGCGUGCAGGAGACACGGCCAGACUCGAGACCGGGAGGCGUAAGAAGUAUUCCAUGGGGACUGGUAAAAUGGGAUAAUCCAUGGAAGACUACCGAUGGCGAAGGCAUCUUACGAGAACGGAUCUGACGGUGAGGAACGAAAGCCAGGGGAGCGAACCGGAUUAGAUACCCGCGUAGUCC